UCCAUUAUGCUUGAAGAAAUUUCCAAAUAAAACGACAUCUUCUGCACAGCCCAGCCUCAAACACAGCCAUACUUAUCUAGUAUAAUAAACUCUGUAGUAAACUGUUUUUGACCGCCAUAGAGAGUAGGAGUUGUCAAAUUUCAGGAGAUAAACUCCUCUCCCUGGGUACUGGUGGCUGCCAGCAUACACUUCUUCAUGACAGUCUCGUCUGUACACAGGCACUAUUUCAUCUAGCUGAGGCUUGUUGGCAUUCUUUUUGGCUUUUUCUUCACUGCUAGCAUUUUCUUCCUCUUCAUCCUCAUCAUCACUGGAUUCGCUGACAUGCACACUCACUGCAGUAUUAGGGGAGUCUGUCCAUUCAAAAUACACCCCAAAACCAAUGUCAUAACUGUCUGUAGCAAACUCCCAAAAGAGGUAAGACCCCUCUUCAUGAGUUGGUACUCUAACUGUAACCACUUCCCCUCGGCCCACUGUGAUCACAGAGUCUGCAUCCUGCCGGAUUUUCUCUUUGAAGUCUUUUAUCUGGGGUCGUGUCCACAUCGAUGGAGCAGCUAUCACUGGAACAGAAUCUUUUGGUCCAUUCUCCAAUGCUUCUUCCAAAGCCUCUGGAUCCAGCUCCUUUUCAGGGUUGUCUGUGUGUGCACUGGCUUGCCCAUUAAUAGACGGCAUAUCCCCUUGGGCAGGUACAUUCACCUUGGAUGCAGUAGUCAGAGGUGUCCCUGCUGCUGCCACAACUGCCUCCUGCUGUUUCUGCAAGGCUGCCUGUUGCUGUGCAAGCUGGACUUGAUACAACUGCUGCAUGUACUGUUGAUAGUGCUGCUCUUGGAGCUGUCGAAUGAGGAUCUGCUGCUGUUCAUAGUUGCCGGGAUACUGCUGAGCAGCAUACUGCUGGAACUGCAUGGCAGUCUGGGAGUUGAGUGCUGCCAUGAUCUGUUGCUUUUGCUGUUCCAUCCGAAGCCGCUCCUCCUCUAUUCUCCUCCUCUCCUCUUCCUCUCUUCUCAGCCUCUCUUCUUCCUCUUGCCUGCGUUUUUCUUCUUCUUUCUGUAACCGCUCAAGCUCCUCUUCUUCACGGCGCCUUCGUUCCUCCUCCUCUCUUCUUUUCUUUUCUUGUUCUUCUUUUUCUAUCUUGUGAGAAGUAACAUACGUUGAGAACAAGUGGCAGCACCUAUUUAGGAGCUUAACAAAUUCUGUCAUAGCUUCUUGCUUCGACAUGUUUCCAAGGGCAGCCCAUUCCUUCCUUCUAUCAUUCCCCAGCACAUCAAAGAACCCAACUUCAGGGCAAGUAUCAGGGUUGUAAGGUCCCAGCAGAACCUGCUUGUGCAGUGCCACAAGUCUGAGUUUUUCUUCAUAUGUUGGAUGAAAGGCUUUGCCAUCUUUUUCCUUGAAGAAGCGCAGUGCCAGGCCGUACAGCUCCUCCAGCGCGAAGCCCCAGCGCCGCUCCGGGCUCAGCGCCGCCGCCUCCUCCCCGCCGGCCUCCGCCUGACUCGGGCAGCCGGGGCCCGCUCGGUUCCGCCCCGCGGCCGAAUCCCCGUGGCCGGGCCGCGCUUCGCAGGGCGGCGCCUCGGCGUUGGGACUCAGCGUCAACCCGUCCACCGACACCUCCAACCGCUCCGCGCUCAGAGCCGCCGCCAUCCUCCGGCUCCGCUGCGGCGGCCACGUCCCGACUUCCC
This 1670-nucleotide long non-coding RNA is filed under the name Gallus gallus (chicken). Lineage: Eukaryota; Metazoa; Chordata; Aves; Galliformes; Phasianidae. The record is from RNAcentral.